GAUGAAGAACGCAGCGAAAUGCGAUAAGUAAUGUGAAUUGCAGAAUUCAGUGAAUCAUCGAAUCUUUGAACGCACAUUGCGCCCGCCAGUAUUCUGGCGGGCAUGCCUGUCUGAGCGUCAUUUCAACCCUCAUGCCCCUAGGGCGUGGUGUUGGGGAUCGGCCAAAGCCCGCGAGGGACGGCCGGCCCCUAAAUCUAGUGGCGGACCCGUCGUGGCCUCCUCUGCGAAGUAGUGAUAUUCCGCAUCGGAGAGCGACGAGCCCCUGCCGUUAAACCCCCAACUUUCCAAGGUUGACCUCAGAUCAGGUAGGAAUACCCGCUGAACUUAAGCGUAUCAAUAAGCGGAGGA
Molecule: unclassified non-coding RNA, 348 nt
Filed under: soil metagenome
Description: partial contains 5.8S ribosomal RNA, internal transcribed spacer 2, and large subunit ribosomal RNA
Rfam family: 5.8S ribosomal RNA (bases 1-120)
Source: RNAcentral